CCCCCCCCCCGACGAGGAGUAAGUGCCACCGCUCCGCCUUCUCCUUUUCGCAAUGUUGACGCAAUCUAUAAAUAGUGGAACAAAAGGACCAACUUCCUCGCAGCUUUGCUGAAACUGCACAAAAAAAGGCAACCCGGGGGGGGGGGGGGCGGAGGAGAGCACGGUUAAUUUUUUUUUUAAUUUUAUUUUUCUCCGGUGAAGAGGCGAAGCCUCCCUCCUUCCCCCCCCCCCUCCGCCCUACGCUACUGGAAGAUUAUUUAUUUUUUUUUUCCUCGCUGUCUCCUAUACUGGCAACGUCCUGCGAGUGGUUAUUUCGCUUUUGCACCGAGAGAAGGGCUUCCCCCCCCUCUUCUGACACUUAUGGAUGAAAUCCACACACUGAUGUCUAACCUGCAAUGAAAGCCAAUGUUUCGACCUUUCAAUAGAGAGCUGAUUUUGGAGAACAGCUUACUCCUGUGAUUGAAAAACUCUCUGGAAGGUUGAUGGAGCAUGAGCAUGGGGAAUUUUUCAUUGAGAUGAUUGAAAUCGCUGCAGUGAGAAUGGAAAUUACAUGGGCUUCUUUCCUUUUAAAAGCUGCAUGCAAGAACUGUGUGGGUUUUACCCGCAUGGGCAGUGCCAUAGCCCAUGGCUGAAUGGAACUGCCUCUGCAUUGCAGCUCUGGGGUCCUAAGGAUGGUGCCUGAUGCAAGAAAGGAAGGCUCGUUGUUUUCAGUUCAGGUGCUUAUUUUCUGCUAGGCUUAGGAACUGUAUGGGGGAAAAAAGAUGCUUAAUUCAUAUAAAAGGGAAAGAAAAGAUAGGCCUGCGUGAAAAUAAACAGACUAGCAGCUGUAUAGGAGCGAAGACAACUAGUGAGAGGAGUGUGUCUAAAAAUCUAAUGUUGAAAGGUUGGAGCUGAGAACUGAUAGGGGAAGGACAGAUCUGAUGAACUGGAAAAUUGGAAGGGGGGGGGGGGGGAAAACCUGUCCAGGUUGAGCAAAGAUUUGGGGGUUUUGUUUGUUUCUUGAAAUUGGAAGAAGCAGCAGCCUGACAGAAGGGAUCUGGCCUGAGGCAAAGAGGAGUCAGUCUUGGGGGAAAGGGGCUUGCACACCUUGGAUCACUCCUAACGUUCAUUAGAGCACUCUGCACUUCAGAUCCAGAAGGGAAUGCAGACUGUUAAGUAGUAGCUUUUGCUGUCAUCUGUGAAAUCACUGUCAGUUUCAUCCCCCUCAUCGUAUUCCACACAGAAGAGGGCAACCUUAUUAGUGCUCUCAGCUACUUCAUGAAUUUGGUCCUGAAAAGGAAUCCCAAAAUAACAGAAUAGUUGAGGUUGGAAGGGACUUCUGGAGAUCAUCUAAUCCGAGCAGGGUCAGGCAGAGCAGGUUUCUUAGGGCUGUGUCCAGUCAGGUUUUGAGUAUCUUCAAGGAUGGACACUCUGCAACCUGUCCUGUUCAGGUAGAAUUUUGUGCUUGUUGCCUCCUGUCCUGUCACUGGACACAGCUGAGAAGAGCCUGGCUAUGUCUUUUUCACUCUCCCUUAUCCCCAUCAGCAGGCAUUUAUAAACUUUAAGAUAACACACACACCAGCCUCUUCUUCUCCAGGCUGGACUCCCAGCGCUCUCAGCCUUUCUUCAUGUGAAAGAUGCUUCAGUUCUCUCAUCGUCUUAGUUAAAAUAUUUACUUCCACAAAUGGGAAUUGGAACUCAAAGGGGGAAAUGCUUUUUGGGGGGAAAAACCAAAACACAACCUGAUAACUAAACUGUAAAGAGAAUAUGAAGAUCACAAAAUGAAACACUAAGAAGAUAGAUAGCUCCAGCUUUACAAUUCGGCAAUCUUCAUUUGCCCCCUUGUGUUAGUGUACUAUGAAGCAGUCUUCGUGAUCAUACAGAAUAUUUAAACUAAUGAUAGGAUUGACCUGGUGUGGUGCAGAGCCAGGGAAGAUGUUUGUGGGCUGUGCAAGCAAGAAGCCUGAUAGGUGCUGCAGAAAUUGGUAGAAAAUUCUGUAGGCAAUGGAACAGAAGACCGCAAGUAGAAGCAGCCAUGUCUUCAUGGUUGUGUCAAAUGAGAAUUCCUAAGAUUUGGACAUGAUGUUUUCUUUUUCUGCCCUUAUUCUUAUAUGAUGCUAAACAAGUUACCAGGCCAUUGUUUUCGUAGUACUGGUGUUCCUCACUUCAGAGGGUGACUUAAGACCCUCAUGGCUGACAGAAACACUGGCUGUUCACAUUUGCAGCUGAGCUUCUUAGGAGUUGUCGUCUGAAUUAAAAUACUGUGUAACAUGUCUGUUGACAGUCUUCUGUCUGCUUAGGGUACCUCAAACUGUUGCAUACUAUAGUUUCUACGCCUCCAUAUCACAUUUAACAUAGGGGUAAUAGACACUUACCUUGAAGGGCUGUUGGGUUUUGUUUGUUUAAAAAUCACUUUUAUUUAGUAGCUGUACUCCAGUAAUGCAUUUCCUUAUGGAAUUUUCUGUGGCAUUUAUUAACUCUGAUCUCAGAGGAAGAGGUGAGUAUUGUGCAUCUUUUAAAGCCCAGAUCUGCAAUCAACUUUCCUUGCUACCAGCUCAAGCUGAGAAACCAAGUUUCCAUGCUGUUGAUUCAUGGUCUAUUCGUACAGUCCUGUGAGCUCCAAAAUACUCUGAUUUGUGUCAUAUCUUGUCACUGAUUCAUUUUGCAUAUUUAGCUAUUACUAUUAAACACUUGUUUGUCCCAUUUUUAGAAUGUGGUUUCAUGAGCAACACAUUAAAUAUUCUGCAAAAUCUUUUAUACACUAAAGGUAAUGUUCAUGUUUGAACUUCAACAUAUUUUACAACAAAUUUACCUGUAAAGAACUAUGUUGCAGAAAGAAUGAACUAGUUAAAUUGUAACAAUUUCUUAUGUACAGUGGUAAACAGCUGAUCUUUUAAAAUGCAAAGUGACUUACACCUAUGUGUUUAGGACUUCUACAGGCCAUCGUUCGUCAAGUUUCAAAAGCAGUUUUCUUGGUGCUGCAUAUGGCACACUUACUGAGUGAGAGUGGUUCUGUACUUGAUAUUCAGAUAUAGAGAUGUGAAAAUGUUUCCACUUUUCCCUUAAUAGUGGUAUCUCGUUAAGUAUUGGGGGAAGUAUCUCCUAAUCAGGUAGCAAUACUAGCAGUAAUGAUUGGAAUUUGAAAUGUUUAGACUCCCUUUACGUUCUUCAUCACAAUCUCUUGUCAUAGAAGUCACAAGAAAUGAUUGAUAUAUUGAUAGAAAUAUAUCUGCAGUGGUGAGCUACUAUUUUACCAGUUUAACUUGAAGCAGAAGUAGCAAUUCUUCAUUUAAAACAAACAAACAAAAAGUUUAAAAUGUAUUUGAAGGAAAACUUAUGUCUGAGAUAUAUGUGAAUCUCCUUUCUAAGGUGGCAGUUGUGAGUGUGUGUCGGAAGAAAAUGUUUAACUAUAAGCAGAAAUAAGAAAAAUAAUGGAGAAAAUGUCGUGCCACAAAUGACAUUGUUCAUCUUUCUGUGAGGGGGCUAGUAUCACUGGGGUAUUUCUUUUUCACUCUAAAUUAAACAGUUUAUUUCUGUUGGAAGUUAUGUAAUGGCUCUCACGUGCAACAACUCAGUAUUUUUUUCCAAAUUUGAUUCACUUGUAAUAGCUCUGUGUUAAUAAAUCAAAUGAAAUUCAUCUAA
Molecule: long non-coding RNA, 3621 nt
Organism: Harpia harpyja (harpy eagle)
Lineage: Eukaryota; Metazoa; Chordata; Aves; Accipitriformes; Accipitridae
Exons: 5
Source: RefSeq, a predicted model, not a curated record